RNAcentral lists this ribosomal RNA (254 nucleotides) under uncultured Singulisphaera sp. RNAcentral describes it as "partial 16S ribosomal RNA". It matches the Rfam family "Bacterial small subunit ribosomal RNA", at positions 524 to 776 of the family's 1533-position model. The record is from RNAcentral. Lineage: Bacteria; Pseudomonadati; Planctomycetota; Planctomycetia; Isosphaerales; Isosphaeraceae.
GACGAACCGUGCGAACGUUAUUCGGAUUCACUGGGCUUAAAGCGCGUGUAGGCGGGCGGCCACGUCUGCGGCUGAAAGGCCCCGGCUCAACCGGGGCUCGGGCCCGGAUACGGGUCGCCUGGAGGGGCGUAGGGGGAGCUGGAACUCACGGUGGAGCGGUGAAAUGCGUUGAGAUCGUGAGGAGCGCCCGCGGCGAAAGCGAGCUCCUGGACGUCUGCUGACGCUGAGACGCGAAAGCCAGGGGAGCGAACGGG